UCCCUGGUGACUCAGCUGGUAAAGAAUCCACCUGCAAUGUGGGAGACCUGGGUUCGAUCCCCAGGUUGGGAA
RNAcentral lists this transfer RNA (72 nucleotides) under Ovis aries (sheep). It matches the Rfam family "tRNA". From Rfam's summary of the family: Transfer RNA (tRNA) molecules are approximately 80 nucleotides in length. Their secondary structure includes four short double-helical elements and three loops (D, anti-codon, and T loops). The record is from Rfam by way of RNAcentral. Lineage: Eukaryota; Metazoa; Chordata; Mammalia; Artiodactyla; Bovidae.